Cyprinus carpio carpio is the source of this 691-nucleotide long non-coding RNA. The record is from Ensembl. Lineage: Eukaryota; Metazoa; Chordata; Actinopteri; Cypriniformes; Cyprinidae.
CAAUACGCAGUGAUUAAGGUUCCCCGGGACAACACAGUUGAUGUAGUGCCUUCCAACUGGCUUGAAGAAACAGAAGAGGGUAUAUAUUGCUACUGGCCAAGAAAAAAUUUGACUGCCAAAGCAAAAAGAAGAGAAACUCCAGAUACCUUCUGGUCAAAACAUGUUGCAGUGGUUCUGGUGUAUGCAGGUAUUUAGGAUGAUUUAAGAUUUAUAUUUGUCACAUACAUGGUUAAUACUGUUCUCUUUCUGGUGAAAACAAGCUAUCAUGUUCUUUCCAGAUAGCUAUGAGGAAGCAAGACUGAAGGCCAACCAGGCUAGUGUGACAUCAGACCUGGAGAGUGAUGAGGAAUCUCCAUGGAGACCAGUACGACCUCCAGCUAGAUACAGAAGACGGCUGGAUAGUGACAACACAGGGUUGAAGAAACUUGAACGAGUCAUGAACAUUCGACUUGACAAAAUGGAACAAAGGAUGUCAGCCAUUGAAACUCUUUUAAGAAAUAUUACCCAGUCAAACGACAAUUCUGAGUUUCAGCUUAAUCUUUGCCAGAGCACACAGGAACUGGAGGAUUUGUGCUUGAGGAUGAAAGACGGUGAAUACAUGAAAAAAACUGUAAGUAAACUUAACAGCAGAUUAUCUGACUUGAUCUACUGGAUUUUCCAAAACACUACUUGUGUUUUUAUUAUCACCUGA